RNAcentral lists this ribosomal RNA (301 nucleotides) under uncultured bacterium. Its description in RNAcentral is "partial 16S ribosomal RNA". It matches the Rfam family "Bacterial small subunit ribosomal RNA", at positions 509 to 807 of the family's 1533-position model. The record is from RNAcentral.
CAGUCGCCGCGGUAAUACGGAGGGGGCUAGCGUUGUUCGGAAUUACUGGGCGUAAAGCGCACGUAGGCGGCUUUGCAAGUCAGAGGUGAAAGCCCGGGGCUCAACUCCGGAAUAGCCUUUGAGACUGCAUCGCUUGAACACGGGAGAGGUGAGUGGAAUUCCGAGUGUAGAGGUGAAAUUCGUAGAUAUUCGGAAGAACACCAGUGGCGAAGGCGGCUCACUGGACCGUUGUUGACGCUGAGGUGCGAAAGCGUGGGGAGCAAACUGGAUUAGAUACCCCUGUAGUCCCUGUCUCUUAUAC